Molecule: ribosomal RNA, 250 nt
Filed under: uncultured bacterium
Lineage: Bacteria
Description: partial 16S ribosomal RNA
Rfam family: Bacterial small subunit ribosomal RNA
Source: RNAcentral
UACGGGGGGGGCAAGCGUUGUUCGGAAUUACUGGGCGUAAAGGGCGUGUAGGCGGUUCGCUAAGUUGGAUGUGAAAACUCUGGGCUCAACCCAGAGCCUGCAUCCAAAACUGGCGGGCUAGAGUUCUGGAGGGGGUAGCGGAAUUCCUGGUGUAGCGGUGAAAUGCGUAGAUAUCAGGAGGAACACCGGCGGCGAAGGCGGCUACCUGGACAGAAACUGACGCUGAGGCGCGAAAGCUAGGGGAGCAAAC